GACGAACGCUGGCGGCGUGCUUAACACAUGCAAGUCGAACGGAAAGGCCCUGCUUUUGUGGGGUGCUCGAGUGGCGAACGGGUGAGUAACACGUGAGUAACCUGCCCUUGACUUUGGGAUAACUUCAGGAAACUGGGGCUAAUACCGGAUAGGAGCUCCUGCUGCAUGGUGGGGGUUGGAAAGUUUCGGCGGUUGGGGAUGGACUCGCGGCUUAUCAGCUUGUUGGUGGGGUAGUGGCUUACCAAGGCUUUGACGGGUAGCCGGCCUGAGAGGGUGACCGGCCACAUUGGGACUGAGAUACGGCCCAGACUCCUACGGGAGGCAGCGGUGGGGAAUAUUGCACAAUGGGCGGAAGCCUGAUGCAGCAACGCCGCGUGCGGGAUGACGGCCUUCGGGUUGUGAACCGCUUUCGCCUGUGACGAAGCGUGAGUGACGGUAAUGGGUAAAGAAGCACCGGCUAACUACGUG
RNAcentral lists this ribosomal RNA (468 nucleotides) under uncultured bacterium. Its description in RNAcentral is "partial 16S ribosomal RNA". It matches the Rfam family "Bacterial small subunit ribosomal RNA", at positions 28 to 507 of the family's 1533-position model. The record is from RNAcentral.